AGUGAACGCUGGCGGUAGGCCUAACACAUGCGAGUCGAACGGCAGCACAGUAAGAGCUUGCUCUUACGGGUGGCGAGUGGCGGACGGGUGAGGAAUACAUCGGAAUCUACUUUUUCGUGGGGGGUAACGUAGGGAAACUUACGCUAAUACCGCAUACGACCUACGGGUGAAAGCAGGGGAUCUUCGGACCUUGCGCGAUUGAAUGAGCCGAUGUCGGAUUAGCUAGUUGGCGGGGUAAAGGCCCACCAAGGCGACGAUCCGUAGCUGGUCUGAGAGGAUGAUCAGCCAAACUGGAACUGAGACAAGGUCCAGACUCCUACGGGAGGCAGCAGUGGGGAAUAUUGGACAAUGGGCGCAAGCCUGAUCCAGCCAUACCACGUGGGUGAAGAAGGCCUUCGGGUUGUAAAGCCCUUUUGUUGGGAAAGAAAAGCAGCAGGUUAAUACCCCGCUGUUCUGACGGUACCCAAAGAAUAAGCACCGGCUAACUUCGUG
RNAcentral lists this ribosomal RNA (492 nucleotides) under uncultured bacterium. Its description in RNAcentral is "partial 16S ribosomal RNA". It matches the Rfam family "Bacterial small subunit ribosomal RNA", at positions 29 to 507 of the family's 1533-position model. The record is from RNAcentral.